Conger conger (European conger) is the source of this 352-nucleotide long non-coding RNA. RefSeq lists it as uncharacterized. Lineage: Eukaryota; Metazoa; Chordata; Actinopteri; Anguilliformes; Congridae. The transcript has 3 exons. The record is from RefSeq and is a predicted model, not a curated record.
CAACAAUCAGAAGCAGGCAGCCUCGCCCCCGAUCGGGACGGUGUUGUGUUAGUAACCAGAAACUCUGGCAGACGGGCGUCGCUAACCCCGCGGCACGCUGGGCCUGUUUACGGCCACAACGCCGGCACGAACCAGUCAUCGCCCGAAAGCCACCGAACCAGCGCUCUUCUCCCUGUGACCCCAGCGGGCUGCUGGGAUAGGUCAGAGACACAGAGCCUCCCAAACGCAGGGAUUUGCCUACAUUUUAAAAACUGGAUGUGGCUUAGGCUGCUGGAGAGAACGCAGCAUUAUUCUCCAGCGAUGAGGAGGAGGGCGAAAUAUCAAACCUGUUGAAUUUGUACGGUAAAGAAUG